RNAcentral lists this long non-coding RNA (3726 nucleotides) under Sus scrofa (pig). Its description in RNAcentral is "lncRNA (ENSSSCG00050017738.1)". The record is from RNAcentral. Lineage: Eukaryota; Metazoa; Chordata; Mammalia; Artiodactyla; Suidae.
GUUCCUAGUCGGAUUCAUUAACCACUGAGCCAUGACGGGAACUCCAGUUUUCAGGUUCUUAAUGCACAUCGUUAGGUCACUUUCCCAUUUGGUUUUGCAAAAUUCAGCCACAAAAUAAUGUCAGACAUUUCUCCUUUAUGGAGUUGCUUUCUUACUGUUUUUUUUUUUUUUUCCUUUUUUAAAAUCUAUUUUUCUUUUUUCUUUUUUUAAAACUUUUUUUCUUUUCAUGGCCACUCCCAUGGCAUGUGGAAGUUCCCAGGCUAGAGGUCAAAUUGGAGCUGUAGCUGCUGGCCUCCACCGCAGUCACAGUAGCGCCAGAUCUAAGCCACAUCUGCGACCUACACCAUGCUUUAUUGCUUGGGCCACGGGAGCAGCUUCGUAGGCCUGCAGUGCUGGUUAUGUGCUGAGGUUUGCUGUGGCUGAGUGGGAAGAAUUCUGCCCUGGGUCUGAGGACCAAUCACUGUCCUAUCACCUCAGAUAACUUGGGAAGGUCACUCGGCUUCCAGGCCUCCAUCAACCUUGUUUUGUCAUUGGUUAAGGGUGGAUUAUGACACCUACUUUAGGGCUGCUGGAGGGUGAAACUAGCUAAUAUAAAUCUGACCUCUCAGGAGGGCCCUGCUGUGUUCCGUUGUUACCUGUUUCGGUGGAAAUCAAAAGCAUGGGUCUUGGGUGCCAAACCAAAGGUUUUAGCUUCAGCCUCUCACCCAUUUGCCUGGUUGUGUGUUCCUUGCAGUCGGCCAGCCUUGCUGGGGAUGAAUACCUGCGUCAUAUGACCUGCAGCUCUCCUCCUGUUAUGUGUGUCCCCCCAAAUGCUGAACAGGGGAGAAGUGCAUUUGCAUCCAAGCUAUGUACGGCUUAUCAACUUCGUAACCCGGGACAAUUUGCUUUGCUUCUUGGACCUUAGGGUUUUUUGUUUUUUGUUUUUCCUACAAAAUGGGGAUUAAAAAAAAAAUCCGUCCUUACCUCCUGAGGUGGUUAUGAAGGUUGGACCAGGUGGUGCCUGUAACUCGCUUGGCCUAGCACCUGUCCCUGGAGAGUGCUCAGUAAAGGUAGGUUGACCAAUUACUAGUUAGUUACUGGUGCAUUCCCGCAGACCUGAGCAUUCUCCGGGUUGAGUCCAACCAACCCACAGGGUAGCUUCUCAAGCUGGGGGCCCAUAGCUCAUGGCAGGUGGGUUUGGAGUUUAGGCUCCUCAAAGUCAGGAGAGACUCAUCCAGGUUUGCCAUUUGAUGGGCGACAAAGGCUUCAGAUGUUUUGUAGUUCUUUUAGAAUUUCCUACGUGUUCCCAUUCAUGUAAAAGGAAGAUCUCUCUUACACACACACACACACACACACACACACACACACACACACACACCUAGGUUCACUUUUCUUUUUUUUUGGCUUUUUUUUAGGGGCACACCUGCAGCAUGUGGAGGUUCUCGGGGUAGGGGUCAAAUCAGAGCUACAGCUGCUGGCCUACACCACAGCCAGAGAAACAGCAGAUCUGAGCCACGUCUGCAAACUAUACACCACAGCUCACGGCAACGCCGGAUCCUUAAUCCACUGAGCGACGCUAGGGAUGCAACCUGCAACCUCAUGGUUCCUAGUUAGAUUCGUUUCUGCCGCGCCAUGAAGGGAGCUCCUAAAGAGGCUCGCUUCUAAGGAGGCUCACUUGCUAAGCAGGAGGGAAGCUUAGCAUUGACUCUGUGACGCUUUUCAUCUUGCUGGAAGUUUUUAACCUGGAAGUUUUUAACCAUGUGCAUGUAUUAGUUCUUCAGUCACUAAGAAAAAAGUUCUUGGGGGUUCUCUGAACUCCAAGAUCCGGCAUCGUCACUGCUGUGGUGGGGGUUCAAUCCCUGGCCCAGGAACUUCUGCAAGCCGAGGGUGUUGUUAAAAAAACAAAAACAAAAACCAAACCAAACAAAUCCUUCAAAGUCCACUGGGUAGUAAAAGAUCCUUGAAUGCCAUCCUGCUUCCUAAUGUAUUUAUAAGAGGCCCUAGGAGUUUUCAGAAAUCUCUCUGUUUUAUGGCUCUCCAUCUGAAUCCCAGGCCAGCCUCCCCUCACACAGCCCAGCUCUCACCCCCUUGCAGGUAUCCUUCCUGCCUUUCAGAAUCUUCCAGCCUGAGUCCUGGACACCCCCGCCCCCCACCAGACCCCCAGGAGGCUGGCCACCCUCUGUUCCUCCCCUGGGGGUGGCCCGUGUGGGAAGCCCUGAGCCUGACUGAGCAGGCCUGAGGCUGGGGGCCUUGGCUGCCUCCUCCUCAGCCCGCCUCCUGGCCCCUGUGUCUCCUGCAGAAGGAAGAGUCUAUGCAGGCUGUUCCUAUCCUUCUUUGAACCAAGCCCUGUUCCAAGAAUUUCAGGGCCGCUCUGCUUGCAGGGUUGAGCUGCUGCUCCCUCAGGCCCCAUGCUCGGAGGUGGCAGCUCCUUGGAAAGGUUUCUUUUCCUCUUUCUUUCUGGCACAGAGGGUGGAUUCCCUGCCCCGCCCCAGACCAUGCGUCUUAGGGGUUAUUUGAGGUGAGUCCUAAAGAAGCAUCUUGCUCUCUGUGCGUCAGUGGGACAGGAGCAGAAUGCUGAAAACCCCAUCUUCCUCCCUCCCAGAAGCCUUUGGUGCCCCCAGCCCCUGCCCACUUUUUGGUUUUUUCAUUGAAAUUGAACAUAGCCUUGUGAAUCUUGGGGGUGGGGCUGGGGGCAGGCAUCGGUCUCUCUUCCCAGGGCUUGGAUCAUCCCCUUCCUAAGAGGGAAGACCCUUAUUAUUAUCAUUAUUUUUUGCUAGACAAUGGAAAUAUGCGAUUUAAUAGUUUUCUUUUUUAACAUAUACAUUGAUUUUUUAAAAUUACUCAGUGAAUUUAAUUACAUUUAUAGCUGUACAAUGAUCAUCACAACCCAGUGUUACAGCAUUUCCAUCCCAAACCCCCAGUGCAUCCCCCCACCCCCCAAUCUGUCUCCUUUGGAAACCACAAGUUUUUCAAAGUCCGUGAGUCAGUAUCUGUUCUGCAAAGAAGUUCAUUGUGUCUUUUUUUUAGAUUCCUUAUGUCAGUGAAAGCUUUUGAUGUUGGCGUCUCAUUGACUGACUGACUUCACUUAGCAUGUUAAUUUCUAGGUCCAUCCCUGUUGCCGCAAAUGCCGUUGUUUCUUUCCUUUAAUGGCUGAGUAAUAUUCCAUUGUGUAUAGUACCACAUCUUUGUUAUCCACUCCUCUGUUGAUGGUCAUUUAGGUUGUUUCCAUGUCUUGGCUAUUGCAGAUAGUGCUGCAGUGAACCUUGGAGUACAUGUGUCUUUUCGAGUCAUAGUUUUCUCUGGAUAGACGCCCAGGAGUGGGAUUGCCGGACCAAAUGGUAAUUGUAUUUUUAGUUUUCUGUGGACUCUCCAUACUGUUUUCUGCAGUGGUUGCACCAAUUUACAUUCCCACCAGCAGUGUGGGAUUCCCUUUUCCUCACACCUUCUCCAGCAUUUAUUGUUUGUAGACUUUUUGAUGAUGGCCCUUCUGACCAGAAGACCCUUAUUGAGAAGGGCCAGGAGUUCCCGCUGUGACUCAGCAGUAACAAACCCUACCAGGAUUCAUGAGGACGCAGGUUCAAUCCCUGGCCUCGCUCUGUGGGUUAAGGCUCGUUGUUGCCAUAAGCCGUGGGUAGGUCACAGUUGAAACUCGGACCUGGUAUUGCUGUGGCUGUGGGUAGGCCAGCGGCUACAGCUCUGAUUGGACCCCUAGCCUGGGAGCUUCCAUAUGCCGCAGGUGUGGCCCUG